ACUAAAAUGCAGAUAGAUGUGUAAGAUUUAAGCUCUAUCAGGAAGUAUUCUUCUUUUAGUA
RNAcentral lists this transfer RNA (61 nucleotides) under Callichirus major. RNAcentral's name for it is "tRNA-Leu". Lineage: Eukaryota; Metazoa; Arthropoda; Malacostraca; Decapoda; Callianassidae. The record is from RNAcentral.